Long non-coding RNA from Thalassophryne amazonica, 319 nucleotides. RefSeq lists it as uncharacterized. The transcript has 4 exons. NCBI's taxonomy places the organism in Eukaryota, Metazoa, Chordata, Actinopteri, Batrachoidiformes, Batrachoididae. The record is from RefSeq and is a predicted model, not a curated record.
AGGAAGGCUUGGGUGGGAGCGAUGCUGAGAUUACAGUCAGUCCUGGGUUUGGAACAUCGAAGGAUGGCACAUGCCACCAUAAAAUUGUACCGCAGCACUUUGGACAAUUGUGAAGACUGCAGUGGACCUGUCUCCGUUUCAAAUGGCUUGGUUUCUCAUGCAAAUUGUGUUCAAGAGCGUGGCAUAAAUCCUGCUUUUUGAAGAAAAAUUCAUUACUGAUUAGUUGGAUCUGGAAAUGGAUGAAGGUGAGCAGGAUGAUGGAGACAGUGAUAUGGAUGAUGCAAGUGUCGCUGACGAUGAACAUGAUGGUGAAGGUGGA